AUGCGUCGUGGCUUACGUUUCCGAGAAGGACUUCUUGGCAUUCUUGUGCAGGUUGGACACAACAAUCCUCGCUGCAAGCUGCAAAAGAACCACACAGGCACCUUCCUUCACCUUGCCCUUAGUGUCGCAUGUGCCCCGUGUUGGCCGUCGCCAUGGCCGCAAAGUGGGUCAAGAUCUGUGGAGCUGCGCAUGGGGCGAGCAUAUCGGCCCACGCUGCUCAAUCCUGUCUGGGCGUCGUUUGGAUUGGGCGGCGGAGAUGGCGAAUUUUUUUUAGAACAUAGACGUCAGGGACGUCCGGCUUUAAAUUAA
Molecule: ribosomal RNA, 309 nt
Filed under: Triticum aestivum (bread wheat)
Lineage: Eukaryota; Viridiplantae; Streptophyta; Magnoliopsida; Poales; Poaceae
Description: partial small subunit ribosomal RNA
Source: RNAcentral